AUACGGAGGGUGCAAACGUUGCGCGGAAUCAUUGGGCGUAAAGCACACGUAGGCGGCCAAGUAAGUUGGAUGUGAAGGCCCAGGGCUCAACCCUGGAAGUGCAUCCAAAACUGCAUGGCUUGAGUGCCGGAGGGGCUCAGAGAAUUCCCGGUGUAGAGGUGAAAUUCGUAGAUAUCGGGAGGAAUACCAGUGGCGAAGGCGCUGGGCUGGACGGUAACUGACGCUGAGGUGUGAAAGCGUGGGGAGCAAACAGGAUUAGAAACCCCAGUAGUCC
RNAcentral lists this ribosomal RNA (274 nucleotides) under uncultured bacterium. RNAcentral's name for it is "partial 16S ribosomal RNA". It matches the Rfam family "Bacterial small subunit ribosomal RNA", at positions 523 to 796 of the family's 1533-position model. The record is from RNAcentral.